ACGUAGGUCCCAAGCGUUGUCCGGAUUUAUUGGGCGUAAAGCGAGCGCAGGUGGUUUCUUAAGUCUGAUGUAAAAGGCAGUGGCUCAACCAUUGUGUGCAUUGGAAACUGGGAGACUUGAGUGCAGGAGAGGAGAGUGGAAUUCCAUGUGUAGCGGUGAAAUGCGUAGAUAUAUGGAGGAACACCGGAGGCGAAAGCGGCUCUCUGGCCUGUAACUGACACUGAGGCUCGAAAGCGUGGGGAGCAAACAGGAUUAGAUACCCUGGUAGUCCACGCCGUAAACGAUGAGUGCUAGCUGUAGGGAGCUAUAAGUUCUCUGUAGCGCAGCUAACGCAUUAAGCACUCCGCCUGGGGAGUACGACCGCAAGGUUG
This 371-nucleotide ribosomal RNA is filed under the name uncultured bacterium. RNAcentral describes it as "bacterial SSU rRNA". It matches the Rfam family "Bacterial small subunit ribosomal RNA", at positions 525 to 896 of the family's 1533-position model. The record is from RNAcentral.